RNAcentral lists this ribosomal RNA (567 nucleotides) under Triticum aestivum (bread wheat). RNAcentral describes it as "partial small subunit ribosomal RNA". The record is from RNAcentral. Lineage: Eukaryota; Viridiplantae; Streptophyta; Magnoliopsida; Poales; Poaceae.
AUGCGUCGAGGCAAUACACGGCUCGCUCUGUGUAUAACAGGCUAUGCCAAGAUUGGAGAGGGUGCCUUAUGCUUUUUGUAUAUGGAGGAGUUGGCGUCUUUGAAAUGCAAGAUUCGUGCUUGGCUGACUGUCCAACACCGGAUAUGGACAUCGGAUCGCCGAGCAAGACAUGGGCUGCAAGAUCAUCCGUCGGCUUGUUACACGUGCCUUCAAGAGGAAGACAAUGCGGAGCACAUUCACAUCCAAUGCUCAUACGCUAGACAAGUGUGGCACAAAUGCAUCAUUGGCCUCAACUUGGAGGUGGCUCACCCACAAGGACAAGAUAAUCUGAUGGACUGGUGGCUACUCGCAAGACAAAAUUUUACUCGAGCUGACAAGAGAGCCUUCGACACGGUUGUGACUGCAGUGGCUUGGUCGCUCUGGAAGCAAAGAAAUACUAGGGUGUUCAACCGGGUAAACCAACAGAAAACGGUGGACGAGCUCCAUAACCAUAUCAUGUCUGAGAUCAAAGAAUGGAAAGAUGCCGGGUUAGGUGCUGGUGCGUUAAAUAGAUUUGUGAGAGAGUAG